This 100-nucleotide microRNA precursor is filed under the name Prunus dulcis (almond). Its description in RNAcentral is "sRNA ncRNA". Lineage: Eukaryota; Viridiplantae; Streptophyta; Magnoliopsida; Rosales; Rosaceae. The record is from RNAcentral.
AAAUAGAAUAUUUUAAAGGUAUAGCCGCGCGGCUAUACUGUAUAAAUAUAAUAUUUUAAACGUAUAGCCGCGCGGCUAUACUCGAUAAAUAUAAAGAAAC